UACCAGCACCCCGAGUGGUCGGGACGAUUAUUGGGCCUAAAGCAUCCGUAGCCGAUUCUACAAGUCUUCCGUUAAAUCCACCUGCUUAACAGAUGGGCUGCGGAGGAUACUAUAGAGCUAGGAGGCGGGAGAGGCAAGCGGUACUUAGUGGGUAGGGGUAAAAUCCGUUGAUCCAUUGAAGACCACCAGUGGCGAAGGCGGCUUGCCAGAACGCACUCGACGGUGAGGGAUGAAAGCUGGGGGAGCAAACCGG
This 253-nucleotide ribosomal RNA is filed under the name uncultured bacterium. Its description in RNAcentral is "partial 16S ribosomal RNA". It matches the Rfam family "Archaeal small subunit ribosomal RNA", at positions 474 to 727 of the family's 1478-position model. The record is from RNAcentral.